Molecule: ribosomal RNA, 447 nt
Filed under: uncultured organism
Description: partial 16S ribosomal RNA
Rfam family: Bacterial small subunit ribosomal RNA
Source: RNAcentral
ACUCUACGGGAGGCAGCAGUGGGGAAUAUUGGACAAUGGGCGCAAGCCUGAUCCAGCCAUGCCGCGUGAGUGAUGAAGGCCCUAGGGUUGUAAAGCUCUUUCACCGGUGAAGAUAAUGACGGUAACCGGAGAAGAAGCCCCGGCUAACUUCGUGCCAGCAGCCGCGGUAAUACGAAGGGGGCUAGCGUUGUUCGGAUUUACUGGGCGUAAAGCGCACGUAGGCGGACUAUUAAGUCAGGGGUGAAAUCCCGGGGCUCAACCCCGGAACUGCCUUUGAUACUGGUAGUCUUGAGUUCGAGAGAGGUGAGUGGAAUUCCGAGUGUAGAGGUGAAAUUCGUAGAUAUUCGGAGGAACACCAGUGGCGAAGGCGGCUCACUGGCUCGAUACUGACGCUGAGGUGCGAAAGCGUGGGGAGCAAACAGGAUUAGAUACCCCUGUAGUCCCAUG